GCCCCUGUGGUGAAAUGGAUAUCAUUGCUGACUUCGGAUCAGCCGUUCCAGGUUCGAGUCCUGGCGGGGGCA
Molecule: transfer RNA, 72 nt
Filed under: Patescibacteria group bacterium
Lineage: Bacteria
Description: tRNA-Arg
Rfam family: tRNA
About the family: Transfer RNA (tRNA) molecules are approximately 80 nucleotides in length. Their secondary structure includes four short double-helical elements and three loops (D, anti-codon, and T loops).
Source: RNAcentral